RNAcentral lists this transfer RNA (67 nucleotides) under Ooceraea biroi (clonal raider ant). It matches the Rfam family "tRNA". Rfam says of the family: Transfer RNA (tRNA) molecules are approximately 80 nucleotides in length. Their secondary structure includes four short double-helical elements and three loops (D, anti-codon, and T loops). The record is from Rfam by way of RNAcentral. Lineage: Eukaryota; Metazoa; Arthropoda; Insecta; Hymenoptera; Formicidae.
CAUUAAAUGACUGAAAAAGUGUUGAUUUUUUAAAUCAAAUAAUAUUAGUAAAAUCUAUUUUUAAUGA